RNAcentral lists this ribosomal RNA (481 nucleotides) under uncultured bacterium. RNAcentral's name for it is "partial 16S ribosomal RNA". It matches the Rfam family "Bacterial small subunit ribosomal RNA", at positions 30 to 507 of the family's 1533-position model. The record is from RNAcentral.
UUGAACGCUGGCGGCAUGCUUUACACAUGCAAGUCGAACGGUAACAGGCCGCAAGGUGCUGACGAGUGGCGAACGGGUGAGUAAUGCAUCGGAACGUGCCCAGUCGUGGGGGAUAACUACUCGAAAGAGUAGCUAAUACCGCAUACGAUCUAUGGAUGAAAUCGGGGGACCGUAAGGCCUCGCGCGAUUGGAGCGGCCGAUGUCAGAUUAGGUAGUUGGUGGGGUAAAGGCUCACCAAGCCAACGAUCUGUAGCUGGUCUGAGAGGACGACCAGCCACACUGGGACUGAGACACGGCCCAGACUCCUACGGGAGGCAGCAGUGGGGAAUUUUGGACAAUGGGCGCAAGCCUGAUCCAGCAAUGCCGCGUGCAGGAAGAAGGCCUUCGGGUUGUAAACUGCUUUUGUACGGAACGAAACGGCUCUGGUUAAUACCCGGGGCUAAUGACGGUACCGUAAGAAUAAGCACCGGCUAACUACGUG